RNAcentral lists this ribosomal RNA (875 nucleotides) under Blasiphalia pseudogrisella. RNAcentral's name for it is "LSU rRNA". It matches the Rfam family "Eukaryotic large subunit ribosomal RNA", at positions 73 to 935 of the family's 3401-position model. Lineage: Eukaryota; Fungi; Basidiomycota; Agaricomycetes. The record is from RNAcentral.
GAUUCCCCUAGUAACUGCGAGUGAAGCGGGAAAAGCUCAAAUUUAAAAUCUGGCGGUUUUGCCGUCCGAGUUGUAAUCUGGAGAAGUGUUUUCCGUGUUGGACCGUGUACAAGUCUCUUGGAACAGAGCGUCAUAGAGGGUGAGAAUCCCGUCUUUGACACGGACUACCAAUACUUUGUGAUACGCUCUCAAAGAGUCGAGUUGUUUGGGAAUGCAGCUCAAAAUGGGUGGUAAAUUCCAUCUAAAGCUAAAUAUUGGCGAGAGACCGAUAGCGAACAAGUACCGUGAGGGAAAGAUGAAAAGCACUUUGGAAAGAGAGUUAAACAGUACGUGAAAUUGUUGAAAGGGAAACGCUUGAAGUCAGUCGCGUUGUCCGGGACUCAGCCUUGCUUCUGCUUGGUGUAUUUCCUGGUUGACGGGCCAACAUCGAUUUUGGACGGCGGAUAAAGAUGGAGGGAAUGUGGCACCUUAGGGUGUGUUAUAGCCCUCUGUCGCAUACGUCGACUGGGAUCGAGGAUCGCAGCACGCCUUUUUGGCCGGGGUUCGCCCACGUAACGUGCUUAGGAUGUUGGCAUAAUGGCUUUAAUCGACCCGUCUUGAAACACGGACCAAGGAGUCUAACAUGCCCGCGAGUGUUAGGGUGGAAAACCCUUGCGCGUAAUGAAAGUGAAAGUUGGGACCUCUGUCAUGGAGGGCACCGACGCCCGGCCUUGAGCUUUUGUGACGGUGCCGCGGUAGAGCGUGUAUGUUGGGACCCGAAAGAUGGUGAACUAUGCCUGAAUAGGGCGAAGCCAGAGGAAACUCUGGUGGAGGCUCGUAGCGAUUCUGACGUGCAAAUCGAUCGUCAAAUUUGGGUAUAGGGGCGAAAGACUAAU